Molecule: ribosomal RNA, 440 nt
Filed under: uncultured bacterium
Lineage: Bacteria
Description: partial 16S ribosomal RNA
Rfam family: Bacterial small subunit ribosomal RNA
Source: RNAcentral
CCUACGGGUGGCAGCAGUGGGGAAUAUUGCACAAUGGGGGAAACCCUGAUGCAGCGACGCCGCGUGAGUGAAGAAGUAUUUCGGUAUGUAAAGCUCUAUCAGCAGGGAAGAAAAUGACGGUACCUGAUUAAGAAGCCCCGGCUAACUACGUGCCAGCAGCCGCGGUAAUACGUAGGGGGCAAGCGUUAUCCGGAUUUACUGGGUGUAAAGGGAGCGUCGACGGUGAUGUAAGUCUGGAGUGAAAGCCCGGGGCUCAACCCCGGGACUGCUUUGGAAACUGUGUAACUGGAGUACAGGAGGGGUAGGCGGAAUUCCUGGUGUAGCGGUGAAAUGCGUAGAUAUUAGGAGGAACACCAGCGGCGAAGGCGGCCUGCUGGACUGAAACUGACGUUGAGGCUCGAAAGCGUGGGGAGCAAACAGGAUUAGAUACCCCAGUAGUC